UACGGAGGAUGCAAGCGUCAUCCGGAUUUAUUGGGUUUAAAGGGUGCGCAGGUUGUUUGAUAAGUCAGUGGUGAAAGUCUGUCGCUUAACGGUAGGAUUGCCAUUGAUACUGUUAGACUUGAAUAUGGAUGAGGUAGGCGGAAUGUGUAGUGUAGCGGUGAAAUGCGCAGAUAUCAGGAGGAACACCGAUGGCGAAGGCAGGUCUCUGGGCCACUACUGACGCUGAGAAGCGAAAGCAUGGGGAGCGAA
This 249-nucleotide ribosomal RNA is filed under the name uncultured prokaryote. RNAcentral describes it as "partial 16S ribosomal RNA". It matches the Rfam family "Bacterial small subunit ribosomal RNA", at positions 524 to 772 of the family's 1533-position model. The record is from RNAcentral.